This 271-nucleotide ribosomal RNA is filed under the name uncultured prokaryote. RNAcentral's name for it is "partial 16S ribosomal RNA". It matches the Rfam family "Bacterial small subunit ribosomal RNA", at positions 524 to 794 of the family's 1533-position model. The record is from RNAcentral.
UACGGAGGAUCCGAGCGUUAUCCGGAUUUAUUGGGUUUAAAGGGUGCGCAGGCGGGAGAUUAAGUCGGCGGUGAAAUUUUGCAGCUCAACUGUAAAAGUGCCUUCGAAACUGGUUUCCUUGAGUGUAGAUGAAGUAGGCGGAAUUUGUGGUGUAGCGGUGAAAUGCUUAGAUAUCACGAGGAACUCCGAUUGCGCAGGCAGCUUACUAAACCACUACUGACGCUCAGGCACGAAGGCGUGGGGAUCAAACAGGAUUAGAUAUCCGUGUAGU